AAGUCCCGCAAGGGAUUAGUAGAGUGGCAAACGGGUGAGUAACACGUGGGUGACCUGCCUUCGAGUGGGGGAUAACGUCCCGAAAGGGACGCUAAUACCGCAUGACAUCCUGCCUUUGAAGAGGCGGAGAUCAAAGCUGGGGAUCGCAAGACCAAGCGCUCAAAGAGGGGCCCGCGCCUGAUUAGCUAGUUGGCGAGGUAACGGCUCACCAAGGCAUCGAUCAGUAUCCGGCCUGAGAGGGCGGACGGACACACUGGGACUGAGACACGGCCCAGACUCCUACGGGAGGCAGCAGUGGGGAAUUGUUCGCAAUGGGCGCAAGCCUGACGACGCAACGCCGCGUGGAGGAUGAAGACCUUCGGG
RNAcentral lists this ribosomal RNA (363 nucleotides) under uncultured bacterium. RNAcentral describes it as "bacterial SSU rRNA". It matches the Rfam family "Bacterial small subunit ribosomal RNA", at positions 72 to 422 of the family's 1533-position model. The record is from RNAcentral.